GAAUCCCGUUGGUGCAAGAGCGCCGAGCGCAUCGAAUGCGACGCCGGGCUUGCUGAGCUCGUGAGCUCGCCUGUAGUGAGAAUUUGCUCUGUGCCGGGCUUGGGCUAGAAGCUUUACGAACACGAUAGCAUUUGAUUCUCACUGCAUCCCUGUGAGGUCAUCCUUUGAGAAGAUCAAUAAAAUGGAUAAAUCUCUAGCUGGACUGAUCAGGGAGAAAAAAGAAGAGAAGGCAUCAGAAACCAAGCUGCAAAAUGCACACACACAAAAUUUUGUCUUUGCUAUCCAUCUGUGUUGACACAUAUACAUCCAGGAGCAAAGGAGCCUCACGUCUGCCAUUUACUCCAGAUGCUUCAGAAGACAAUGCACAUACACUCACAUCUAUCGAGAGAGGAUACAGCACACGUGGUACAGAAGAGUUGUCCCUUCCCUGGUCCUGGAGGAAAAUUCUGGUGUCCUCAUGGCUCCGCAGGUCAGCUGAGGCAAGAGAAACCCCU
Long non-coding RNA from Balaenoptera ricei (Rice's whale), 494 nucleotides. RefSeq lists it as uncharacterized. The record is from RefSeq and is a predicted model, not a curated record. Lineage: Eukaryota; Metazoa; Chordata; Mammalia; Artiodactyla; Balaenopteridae. The transcript has 4 exons.